ACGCGCACGGGUGAGUAACACGUAUCCAACCUGCCCUUUACUCGGGGAUAGCCUUUCGAAAGAAAGAUUAAUACCCGAUAGCAUAAUGAUUCCGCAUGGUUUCAUUAUUAAAGGAUUCCGGUAAAGGAUGGGGAUGCGUUCCAUUAGGUUGUUGGUGAGGUAACGGCUCACCAAGCCUUCGAUGGAUAGGGGUUCUGAGAGGAAGGUCCCCCACAUUGGAACUGAGACACGGUCCAA
Molecule: ribosomal RNA, 237 nt
Filed under: uncultured bacterium
Lineage: Bacteria
Description: partial 16S ribosomal RNA
Rfam family: Bacterial small subunit ribosomal RNA
Source: RNAcentral